AAGGAGAGAGAGGGAUUCGAACCCUCGAUAGUUCA
RNAcentral lists this transfer RNA (35 nucleotides) under Nipponanthemum nipponicum. RNAcentral describes it as "partial tRNA-Ser (UGA)". RNAcentral also lists the same sequence under 8 other names. The record is from RNAcentral. Lineage: Eukaryota; Viridiplantae; Streptophyta; Magnoliopsida; Asterales; Asteraceae.